Long non-coding RNA from Tripterygium wilfordii, 1046 nucleotides. RefSeq lists it as uncharacterized. The record is from RefSeq and is a predicted model, not a curated record. The transcript is spliced from 7 exons. NCBI's taxonomy places the organism in Eukaryota, Viridiplantae, Streptophyta, Magnoliopsida, Celastrales, Celastraceae.
CUCAUAUCUUGUAUGGUUUGGCGAUUGGCUCUUCUCCUCUGAUUGUUGUUAAAUUUAAUUUAACUUAAUGUUUAUUUUAUUUAACAAACCUGGAUAGUCAUUAUGUAUUGAUUGAAAAACAGAAGAAGCGACGCUUUCGAUUAUUGUUCUGAUGCAUGUAUUGGCCGAAGUAUAUAAUAGUCGGAGCCGAAUCGAAGGCAACAUUCAUUCCUUCUCUUAUCUAACUUGAAUCCGCGUUUCUGAUCAUCUGUCAGCAGAGUAUCUAAGUUGAUGUGGCGUCUUUGUUUUGGACAAAGUAAUCUGCUUCAAACGGUGUCAAAAUUCAAGUGGAUGAGAAUCUCUUAUUGAGCCUGAGGUUAUAGGUUGCUGGCCAGUGAAGUCUUGAAUAAAUAACUUUUGGGAGUUCAAGGUUUUGAACUUUAAUAAUAUCUUUCUUUACAUUAUAUAGUGUUUUCAAAUGGAGUGCACCCAAGAACGAGAUACAAGAUUUUCUGUUGCCGUGUGUUCUGGAGUUCGGCAACAUAGGCAUGCAAGAUUGUUUAGGAGAUUUAAGUUACAACAACAUAGAUUAAGAAGGACCAUUUUGGGGAUCGCCGUUGAGCAGAGGUUUAAAUUUGCUAGGUAUAAGAGAAGUAUUUCUGAGGCAAAUAAGGUUUGGUCGUGCCCUUCAUUUUGGAGAGAGGGAAAGGGACAUUCUUGAGAUGAUAUUGGAAAUGGCUUUUUAUGGAUUGAGUGGAUGGUCGUGUCUUGGAUGUUUGCUGCCUGAAUCACCUGCCUAUGUAUUUCAUGGAGAACAUCUUUCUCCUAGCUAUAUUGGACUUCAAAAUCAUAUUCCCAAUAAUUUACAUCUACAACAUUUGAGGCAAAAAUACCGGGAUGCGAGACAUAAAAGAAUUUUGAUAUUGCAUCAGAAAAGGUUGCGAUUAUUGGCUUCAGUAUCUCAUACUACUCUAUCUAAUAGUUCUGUAGAAGGUCAACAUGUACAACAUGUAAGGUUACAAUACAAAAAUUCGCGAUUUCAAAGACUUUCAAUGUUGUGCCAGAAG